UGCAGUCGAACGGUGAUGGCCAGCUUGCUGGUCUGAUCAGUGGCGAACGGGUGAGUAACACGUGAGUAACCUGCCCCUGACUCUGGGAUAACUACCGGAAACGGUGGCUAAUACCGGAUAUGAGGUGCCUGGGCAUCUGGGCGCCUGGAAAGUUUUUCGGUCAGGGAUGGGCUCGCGGCCUAUCAGCUUGUUGGUGGGGUGAUGGCCUACCAAGGCGACGACGGGUAGCCGGCCUGAGAGGGCGACCGGCCACACUGGGACUGAGACACGGCCCAGACUCCUACGGGAGGCAGCAGUGGGGAAUAUUGCACAAUGGGCGCAAGCCUGAUGCAGCGACGCCGCGUGCGGGAUGACGGCCUUCGGGUUGUAAACCGCUUUCAGCAGGGAAGAAGCGCAAGUGACGGUACCUGCAGAAGAAGCGCCGGCUAACUACGUGCCAGCAGCCGCGGUAAUACGUAGGGCGCAAGCGUUGUCCGGAAUUAUUGGGCGUAAAGAGCUCGUAGGCGGUUUGUCGCGUCUGCUGUGAAAUCCUCAGGCUCAACCUGGGGCUUGCAGUGGGUACGGGCAGACUAGAGUGCGGUAGGGGUGACUGGAAUUCCUGGUGUAGCGGUGGAAUGCGCAGAUAUCAGGAGGAACACCGAUGGCGAAGGCAGGUCACUGGGCCGCAACUGACGCUGAGGAGCGAAAGCAUGGGGAGCGAACAGGAUUAGAUACCCUGGUAGUCCAUGCCGUAAACGUUGGGCACUAGGUGUGGGGUCCAUUCCACGGAUUCCGUGCCGCAGCAAACGCAUUAAGUGCCCCGCCUGGGGAGUACGGCCGCAAGGCUAAAACUCAAAGAAAUUGACGGGGGCCCGCACAAGCGGCGGAGCAUGCGGAUUAAUUCGAUGCAACGCG
Molecule: ribosomal RNA, 894 nt
Filed under: Cellulomonas marina
Lineage: Bacteria; Bacillati; Actinomycetota; Actinomycetes; Micrococcales; Cellulomonadaceae
Description: bacterial SSU rRNA
Rfam family: Bacterial small subunit ribosomal RNA
Source: RNAcentral